GACGAACGCUGGCGGCGUGCUUAACACAUGCAAGUCGAACGGAAAGGCCCUUUCGGGGGUACUCGAGUGGCGAACGGGUGAGUAACACGUGGGUGAUCUGCCCUGCACUUUGGGAUAAGCCUGGGAAACUGGGUCUAAUACCGGAUAGGACUACGCGAUGCAUGUCGUGUGGUGGAAAGCUUUUGCGGUGUGGGAUGGGCCCGCGGCCUAUCAGCUUGUUGGUGAGGUUAUGGCUUACCAAGGCGACGACGGGUAGCCGGCCUGAGAGGGUGACCGGCCACACUGGGACUGAGAUACGGCCCAGACUCCUACGGGAGGCAGCAGUGGGGAAUAUUGCACAAUGGGCGCAAGCCUGAUGCAGCGACGCCGCGUGGGGGAUGACGGCCUUCGGGUUGUAAACCUCUUUCGCCAGGGACGAAGCGCAAGUGACGGUACCUGGAGAAGAAGGACCGGCCAACUACGUGCCAGCAGCCGCGGUAAUACGUAGGGUCCGAGCGUUGUCCGGAAUUACUGGGCGUAAAGAGCUCGUAGGUGGUUUGUCGCGUUGUUCGUGAAAACUCACAGCUCAACUGUGGGCGUGCGGGCGAUACGGGCAGACUUGAGUACUGCAGGGGAGACUGGAAUUCCUGGUGUAGCGGUGGAAUGCGCAGAUAUCAGAGGAACACCGGUGGCGAAAGCGGGUCUCUGGGCAGUAACUGACGCUGAGGAGCGAAAGCGUGGGGAGCGAACAGGAUUAGAUACCCUGGUAGUCCACGCCGUAAACGGUGGGUACUAGUGUGGGUUUCCUUCCUUGGGAUCCGUGCCGUAGCUACGCAUUAAGUACCCCGCCUGGGGAGUACGGCCGCAAGGGCUAAAACUCAAAGAAAUUGACGGGGGCCCGCACAAGCGGCGGAGCAUGUGGAUUAAUUCGAUGCAACGCGAAGAACCUUACCUGGGUUUGACAUGCACAGGACGUGCCUAGAGAUAGGUAUUCCCUUGUGGCCUGUGUGCAGGUGGUGCAUGGCUGUCGUCAGCUCGUGUCGUGAGAUGUUGGGUUAAGUCCCGCAACGAGCGCAACCCUUAUCUUAUGUUGCCAGCGCGUUAUGGCGGGGACUCGUGAGAGACUGCCGGGGUCAACUCGGAGGAAGGUGGGGAUGACGUCAAGUCAUCAUGCCCCUUAUGUCCAGGGCUUCACACAUGCUACAAUGGCCGGUACAAAGGGCUGCGAUGCCGUGAGGUGGAGCGAAUCCUUUCAAAGCCGGUCUCAGUUCGGAUCGGGGUCUGCAACUCGACCCCGUGAAGUCGGAGUCGCUAGUAAUCGCAGAUCAGCAACGCUGCGGUGAAUACGUUCCCGGGCCUUGUACACACCGC
RNAcentral lists this ribosomal RNA (1350 nucleotides) under uncultured bacterium. Its description in RNAcentral is "bacterial SSU rRNA". It matches the Rfam family "Bacterial small subunit ribosomal RNA", at positions 28 to 1393 of the family's 1533-position model. The record is from RNAcentral.